CUCAUUUUACAUUUUCUCAUUUUUAGAAAAAUAAAAACCAUACUCCAUUGUCUUCAUAAUAAUAAACUUCACCACCCCAAAUAUCUUCAAGCCACCACUUCAUCAUAACUCACCUUUUUCGGCAACCAACAAAGCUCACCACCAACUUCGUAAUCUCAUUCGUCAUUUCGCCAGGUAAUGGUUGUUCAAACUUGUUCUUUGUUUUCACUUCCUUUAUGCUUGUUGUCUUACAAUUUAUUCUUUAAUUUGAUAGUU
Molecule: long non-coding RNA, 255 nt
Filed under: Lathyrus oleraceus (garden pea)
Lineage: Eukaryota; Viridiplantae; Streptophyta; Magnoliopsida; Fabales; Fabaceae
Description: Pisum sativum (pea) long non-coding RNA (PSAT_LNC014622)
Source: RNAcentral